Long non-coding RNA from Oncorhynchus nerka (sockeye salmon), 580 nucleotides. RefSeq lists it as uncharacterized. The transcript has 2 exons. The record is from RefSeq and is a predicted model, not a curated record. NCBI's taxonomy places the organism in Eukaryota, Metazoa, Chordata, Actinopteri, Salmoniformes, Salmonidae.
AGUCUUGAAAGCGUACAGACUUGCUUGGUUGGAUAACAGUUCGUGUUAGUGAUGACUGGCACUGUUCUGGAUCUUCAGAAAAGUACAACAUCAAACUAAUUAGCGUAAUAUGUUUAAAUUCAGAUCAUAUUUUUUUUAAAGUUUAUUUUUCACGACGUUGUGUCCAGUGUGCAUACCUUUUAGUAGCUUUGGGACACCAAAGAUAAACUUUUAGCAAGCUGGUUGGCAAGCAUGCCUUGCUGGAUCCUUGAUGCUGAAGGACAUCUGCCUACCUGAUGGUAGAGGCAUCCUGCUACACUUACCCCUGUCGUCCUGUAGAGAUGGCCAUCGAUGACCGACUAGACUACACAACUCAAGGUGUUUACUUUGGAUGCCCUCCCAGGCACUCCUCCCAGGGCUUAAUGACUGGAUUUACUGCAUCAAUUAGCCAUCAGGGUCUCUGAGAGGCCUGGCUGGCUGAUCGAUUGUUCUCUAGCAGCUGAUGUCCCCUUGCCGUUCUGUUCUGCACUGCUCUGGACCAUGCUAACUGCUUGUCUGAAUGUAAACCUAGUACAAUGUAAUUAAAUCAAAUCAAACAUUU